RNAcentral lists this long non-coding RNA (2663 nucleotides) under Homo sapiens (human). RNAcentral describes it as "HSALNT0098126". The record is from RNAcentral. Lineage: Eukaryota; Metazoa; Chordata; Mammalia; Primates; Hominidae.
CCGAUGUAGGAGAUAAAUCUCUGGGCUCCCGAAAUGUUUUUCAUUUUAAAAGUUCAAGUCAUCACUCAACAUGGGCCAGAGAAUACUAAGACCUUUGACAGUGAACCUCUUACAGGAUGGAGAAGCUGAGGCCUUAACUCACAAGGUUGUGCCUUUAUAAGGCAACAAAGCAAAAGCAAGUGUGUCAUAGAUGGAAACCUGUUUACCUAGAUCUCACCGACCUGUUGAGAGGAAAGGAGCCAACCUGGCCUGGUGACCUUCUCUGUGCAAGCAGGGAGCAGGCACACACCACCAAUGAGUGAAGAAGGCUGCUGUGGCAUGCUCGGGACCUAGAGGGAACCUGCCUCAUUGACAGGGGACAGCAGCUGCACAGCUCCAGACAAUCGUUGUCAAGGACGGGAAUGAGAUUCUAACAUGGCUGAUCUGAUUUUUCAAGAAAGGUGAAAGACCCAAAUUCAUGGAAGAGAAGUGAGUCACACAGGGAGCCAGUGGCAGAGCCACACCCCACAGAGCAAUCAACAUGCUCUACUCUGCAGACCUGCAACAGGGAGGGAAGCCAGACUCUGAUGCAAGAAGGAAAGACCAUGUGCUGGCUCAGUGUGUGCAGCCUGGACUGAGCUACUGAACUCUAAAUCCAAGGAUGACUAAUAGGCAGAAUGACAUUAAUACCAGACCUGAUGAAGACAGCACAAAAAGUAAAUCUCAACACAACCUCACAAUAUUAAUAAAGCAAAAAUUUUAAAUACAGUAAUGUAUUAGCAAACAGAACUCCAUGGUACACCAUGACCAAAUGAGGACAUGUAAGAAUGGCUUAAUAUCUGAAAAUAUAUUAGUAUAAUUUAUCAUAAUGCCAAGUCAAAGAAGACAAACCAUAUCACCAUGUCCGUAAAUGCAGAAAGGGUAUUUGGGGGGGAAAAAAACAUCAAAAUGUAAAUGCUAAAACACUAGAAAUAGCAAAUCUGAAAGUACUGACCACUGCAAUUAGACAGGAAAAUGACAUCAGGAGUCUAAAAAUUGCAAACAGGAAAUAACAUAAGAAAACUAAAUAUCAGAAAAAGAGGAGCAAUAUUAGAAUUACAGGCAGAUGGAACAAUUGUAUAUUCCUUAUAAACAUAAAGAAUCAAAAUUUUAAAGAAAUUAUUAGAAAUAAUAAGAGAAGUUGGUAACUGGAGGCAAAUAAAUAUACAAAAUUCAAAAGCAUUUUUAUUAAGUAUAAAUAAUACCCAGUUAAAAAACAACAAAAGAAAAGAUUCCUUGUACAAUAUCAACAACAAAAAAAAAACAGGUAAAAUACUUUGGAAUAAAUUUAACAAGAACUGCAAAAAUGAUCUUACAGCUCAACUGAAAGUGAUGAAAGUCUUCAACAGAUGCAAUCUUGCUUCUAGAUAGAAAAUCUCAAUAUUUUACGCCAGGCGUGGUGGCUCACAUCUGUAAUCCUAGCACUUUGGGAGACCAAGGCGGGCGGAUCACCUGAGAUCAGGAAUUUAAGACCAGCCUGGCCAAUAUGGUAAAACCCCAUCUUUACUAAAAAAUACAAAAAUUAGCCAGGUGUAGUGGCACGUGCCUGUAAUCCCAGCUACUCAGGAGGCUGAGGCACAACCAUCACUUGAACCCGGGAGGUGGAGGUUGCAGUGAGCCAAGAUCACACCACUGUACCCCAGCCUGGACGACAGAACAGACUCUGUCAAGAAAGAAAAGAAAGAAAAGAAAGAAAAGAAAGAGAGAGAGAGAGAGAGAGAGAGAAAGAAAGAAAGAGGGAAAGAAAGAAAGAGGGAAAGAAAGAAAGAGGGAAAGAAAGAAAAUCUCAAUAUUUUAAAGACGUAGCAUCUCCUCAAAUUGAAAUCUAUAAAUUUAUGUAAUCCAAGUAAACAGUAACAGUAGUAAAAUAUCCACAUACAUAUGGUUAUAUAUAAUAAGGUUAAUUUAUAUAUAGGGUUAUAUAUAACAUUUUAUAUAUAUAUAACAUAUAUAAAUAUAUAUAUUUACCUGCAAAAGUGAAAUGCAAGAAUGGGUAAGGAGUGAAAGGAAUGAGAGAAGAAUAAUUUACACAGAUAUAAAGAUGUGUAACAAAGCUGUAACUGAAAGAAUUUGGUAUACAAUAACAAAAAACAGUCAGUUCAAUAGAAGAAAAGAGAGAACAGAAGUAGACUGAAACCCAUAUGGAAAUGCAGUAGCUUUUUUAAAGGUUGUAUGUCAAGUCAGAGAGGGAAAAGAUUAAUAAAUGAUCUUAGAACACCUGACAAACUGCCAUUCAAAAACAAAUAAACUUGGAUUCCCAGCUUGCUCUUCACACAGAGACAAAUUCCAAAUGAAUCAAAAUUGUAACAUAUAAAACACAAUCAUAAAAGCACCAGAAGAAAACAUAAAUUUAGGGUGGGAGAUGGCCUUAAUUUUUAAAGUCAAAUGUAUCAAUAUUUUCCCUCAUGCCUUGUGGAGUCCAUGAUUAAUUUGAGUUAAAGCAAAAGUUAGAAAUAUUGUAGAAUGAAAAAAGCAGUUACACCAUAAACAAAACCAAAAGGCAAAGGACGACUGAGGAAAUAACAAACAAGGGAGAAAAACUAAGUCUGUAGCUUUGGGAGGUAGCAACACAAAUCAGGAGGAAGGAACAAAUGGUCCAGCCAGAUAAGAAUUUUUCCAGAAAAGAACCAAUGAUCAAACAGGCA